Apteryx haastii (Great spotted kiwi) is the source of this 175-nucleotide unclassified non-coding RNA. Lineage: Eukaryota; Metazoa; Chordata; Aves; Apterygiformes; Apterygidae. The record is from Ensembl.
CUGAAGCCAAACAAGAAAAAAGUCUUAGGCUUAUUCACUAAACUGCUAUAGCUCCAGCAUUGAUAGUGGAAAUUCCUCUGCAGUAUCCUGUUAAUGCACUUCAACCCUGACCUGAAAGAACCUUUAUGGCUCACAGAAUAGUUUAAUUUUCGUGCCCAUUCAAUCUUUGGCCUCU